Salvelinus fontinalis (brook trout) is the source of this 2232-nucleotide long non-coding RNA. RefSeq lists it as uncharacterized. The transcript is spliced from 2 exons. The record is from RefSeq and is a predicted model, not a curated record. NCBI's taxonomy places the organism in Eukaryota, Metazoa, Chordata, Actinopteri, Salmoniformes, Salmonidae.
GUGAGCGUUGCAUAGUGGCCUUUGUUUGUUGUGGCAGUGGAGGCGGGGUCCAUUGACCAAGCAGUGGCUAUUCGGAGCGCGAGGUCCAUUGUCAGAGAGCUUUUAGGAGAGGAAAGAAGUCCUGUAUCUUCGGCUCUGGAUAAUUGCAGAAUGGGUUCGGAAUGCAUUUGAGAAAACAGAUCCAGCAUAUAAGGAAUUCUGGACUAAUAAGACCCCAUCUUUCUAACUGCCUGGCGAGUUGUUGCUGAUGCAUUUUCAUAGGCCAUAUCAAAACAUAUUCCAGAUAAUGGCGACACUAUAUGAAUGAAGAGGCAAUUAAUCACUUGUGACAUGAGGCAAUGUGAGUCUCAGACAUAUCUGAAGAGAGGGUAAACUUGGGACUGCAGCCAGAUCAUGAAAUAUUGGUGCUUGGGGAGGCAGAUUAAGUGUUAAUUAACCCCUCCCAGGGCCAGGCAGGUGUGGGAUGUGGUGCACUGUUGUACAAUGCCCUCCCAAUAUUGCACUCGUCCCGGCCUCCCGGACCCAGGGUAUUCCAUCUUUAACAGAGGAGCUCAGAAAGGUUGUUUUUCCUCAUUCCUCACUCCGUACAUGUGUGUAAAAACACUGUGAUAUGUACUUCAAAACUUUGUUCUCACUUAAAAAUAUAUUUUCAAAAUCACUUUCUACAAUACAUUUUGCUACUACAAUUAUUUAGAGAAACAUAUGUGUAAUACUAUGUCAUUCGCCAUAUCGACCCAAUUUAUUCUAUCUAUUCACAUGUGGCCCGUUAUGGGAGAAACCCAGUGAAUUUAUUCUAUACAGUUGGUAAGCCUCUGCUUCCAAAUGGUCCCACUGUCCGCACCUGACACUGGCUGGCUAGCUGCCACAUGGGGACUUUAGCCAACUCCACUAAGUCAUUCUCUUCCCUCUGCCCUUGUGACUUCACUCUGAAAGUUCCCACAUUUUGGGAUAGGAAGCAGUAUUGCACAAACUCUGUAUGGCCAACAAGACCUAGGAUGACAAAUGCCUAUCAAAUUGCAUCUAUUCACACCUGAGAGAGAGUUAGUCAGGAUAGAGCAAAGAGAUGAAUGAUCAGAUUGGAAUCCAGCCACAGUAGUCUGGGGUCAAUAGCAGGACAUCUCCAGCUUAAUAGAAUAAUGCUUAAAAUACUCCAUUCUGUCUCCCGGGUGGCGCAGUGGUCUAGGGCACUGCAUCGCAGUGCUAACUGCGCCACCAGAGUCUCUGGGUUUGCCCCCAGGCUCUGUCGCAGCCGGCCGCGACCGGGAGGUCUGUGGGGCGACGCACGAUUGGGCUAGCGUCGUCCGGGUUAGGGAGGGUUUGGCCGGUAGGGAUUUCCUUGUCUCAUCGCGCUCCAGCGACUCCUGUGGCGGGCUGGGCGCAGUGCGCGCUAACCAAGGGGGCCAGGUGCACGAUGUUUCAUCCGACACAUUGGUGCGGCUGGCUUCCGGGUUGGAGGCGCGCUGUGUUAAAGAAGCAGUGCGGCUUGGUUGGGUUGUGCCUCGGAGGACGCAUGGCUUUCGACCUUCGUCUCUCCCGAGCCCGUACGAGAGUUGUAGCGAUGAGACAAGAUAGUAAUUACUAGCGAUUGGAUACCACGAAAAUUGGGGAGAAAAGGGGAUCAAAUAAAAAAAAAUAAAAAAAAUACUCCAUUCUAAAUGGAAUCCAAAUUCAUUUUCAAGUCUGUCCUCAGCAGGGAACUUGUUUUGUUGUUAUUACACAAGUAGAAUGGGAAGAGGUUUUAUUUCACUUAUGUGGUAACAAAAUGCUCAACUCCAUUACAAAGCAAGUUACAAUGUAACAUGUUAAAAUACAGUGUUAUCAUUGAGUUAUUACAGUGUUACUACACUGGCAUAAGAAUAACGUAAUUAGGCAAUGUGACACAUAAUAUAUGAUAUUAAAUAUAGCAAGUUCUGUACCAUGUAUAUGGAUUUAUAUGACUGGCUAUUAUGGUGGAGCAGAGAAGCAGACAGUGGAGACAGGCAGUUCAGUCAGUUGAGCCCUGGGGUCUGUCUGCUCCUGGGAGGUAUGAUGACAACCACAGCACUCAGCGGUUGGAUACAGUUAGCACCAGUGUCACCACAUACUUCACUGACUAGAUGACCUCGGAACAGCAGUGCACAUUCACAGUUGCUCUUGAUUUCUUUGACAGUUUUUUAUUCUAAGUAGUAUCGUUCAUUAGCAUACUUGUUGUGUACAGAAUCACAAAGGUCAAAUAAACAUAUUUUUAAGAAA